This 496-nucleotide ribosomal RNA is filed under the name uncultured bacterium. Its description in RNAcentral is "partial 16S ribosomal RNA". It matches the Rfam family "Bacterial small subunit ribosomal RNA", at positions 29 to 507 of the family's 1533-position model. The record is from RNAcentral.
AUGAACGCUGGCGGCGUGCCUAAUCCAUGCAAGUCGAGCGAACGGACGAGAAGCUUGCUUCUCUGAUGUUAGCGGCGGACGGGUGAGUAACACGUGGAUAACCUACCUAUAAGACUGGGAUAACUUCGGGAAACCGGAGCUAAUACCGGAUAAUAUUUUGAACCGCAUGGUUCAAAAGUGAAAGACGGUAUUGCUGUCACUUAUAGAUGGAUCCGCGCUGCAUUAGCUAGUUGGUAAGGUAACGGCUUACCAAGGCAACGAUGCAUAGCCGACCUGAGAGGGUGAUCGGCCACACUGGAACUGAGACACGGUCCAGACUCCUACGGGAGGCAGCAGUAGGGAAUCUUCCGCAAUGGGCGAAAGCCUGACGGAGCAACGCCGCGUGAGUGAUGAAGGUCUUCGGAUCGUAAAACUCUGUUAUUAGGGAAGAACAUAUGUGUAAGUAACUGUGCACAUCUUGACGGUACCUAAUCAGAAAGCCACGGCUAACUACGUG